UGCAAGUCGAGCGGUACAUUUCUAGCUUGCUAGAAGAUGACGAGCGGCGGACGGGUGAGUAAUGCUUGGGAACAUGCCUUGAGGUGGGGGACAACAGUUGGAAACGACUGCUAAUACCGCAUAAUGUCUACGGACCAAAGGGGGCUUCGGCUCUCGCCUUUAGAUUGGCCCAAGUGGGAUUAGCUAGUUGGUGAGGUAAUGGCUCACCAAGGCGACGAUCCCUAGCUGGUUUGAGAGGAUGAUCAGCCACACUGGGACUGAGACACGGCCCAGACUCCUACGGGAGGCAGCAGUGGGGAAUAUUGCACAAUGGGCGCAAGCCUGAUGCAGCCAUGCCGCGUGUGUGAAGAAGGCCUUCGGGUUGUAAAGCACUUUCAGUCAGGAGGAAAGGUUAGUAGUUAAUACCUGCUAGCUGUGACGUUACUGACAGAAGAAGCACCGGCUAACUCCGUGCCAGCAGCCGCGGUAAUACGGAGGGUGCGAGCGUUAAUCGGAAUUACUGGGCGUAAAGCGUACGCAGGCGGUUUGUUAAGCGAGAUGUGAAAGCCCCGGGCUCAACCUGGGAACUGCAUUUCGAACUGGCAAACUAGAGUGUGAUAGAGGGUGGUAGAAUUUCAGGUGUAGCGGUGAAAUGCGUAGAGAUCUGAAGGAAUACCGAUGGCGAAGGCAGCCACCUGGGUCAACACUGACGCUCAUGUACGAAAGCGUGGGGAG
Molecule: ribosomal RNA, 714 nt
Filed under: Pseudoalteromonas sp.
Lineage: Bacteria; Pseudomonadati; Pseudomonadota; Gammaproteobacteria; Alteromonadales; Pseudoalteromonadaceae
Description: bacterial SSU rRNA
Rfam family: Bacterial small subunit ribosomal RNA
Source: RNAcentral